Molecule: unclassified non-coding RNA, 384 nt
Filed under: uncultured Tepidisphaerales bacterium
Lineage: Bacteria; Pseudomonadati; Planctomycetota; Phycisphaerae; Tepidisphaerales
Description: contains 16S-23S intergenic spacer region
Source: RNAcentral
UCCGGUUUGACACCGGCAGUCCCCUUAGAGUCCCCGGCAUAACCCGCUGGUAACUAAGGGCAAAGGUUUCGCUCGUUAAGGGACUUAACCCGACAUCUCACGACACGAGCUGACGACAGCCAUGCAGCACCUGUACUAGUUGUACCCCUUGCGGGGCCUACUCGACUUUCAUCGAGAUAAUCCUAGCGAGUCAAACCCAGGUAAGGUUCUGCGCGUUGCUUCGAAUUGAACCACAUGCUCCACCGCUUGUGUGAGCCCCCGUCAAUUUCUUUGAGUUUUAGCCUUGCGACCGUACUUCCCAGGCGGUCGACUUAGCACUUUUGCUACGACCGCAACACCGUCAAGGCGCUGCGAUCUAGUCGACAUCGUUUAUGGCCAGGACUA